CCAGAUUGUGCUUCUUCCCCAGCUCCUGGAUACAUCGACACACCGCCGUUCAGAACCCACUCCAACUCGUGCAGUUCGACGGCCUCACGGAGGUACGUACCCUGAAUCCAAACACGUUUCUUCUACCUACUAGCUUCUCCGAACCUCUCAAAUCUGGUGCAGCUCAACGAAUCCUCAAAUCAAGCGUCAGAUUUCAGCCAUAUAAUUAUAUAUGUACGCCAGAUCUAGCCUCAGAUUCGAGCUAUUGAUUUGAGGAAUUUAAUCAUUUAUUUCCCCUUUAAUUAGUUAUAAAUUAGUUUGAAGACAGCCAUACAUUUCCAUAAAUUCUGAACUUUUUACUACUAAGAUUGAGUGGAAUACAUGGGAUGAUUAGCAUUGGCUCUGUUUUCCGUUGAAAUACAUGUAAUAUUUCCACCUAAUCUCUACCAGUCUCUAAUUUUGCUAUGUAAUGAGCACUGUGUUUAUACUUAUCUCCACACACACACACACAGAUAGCCUAUGCACAACAGAACUAAGAUUGCCUUCGAGUGCUUGUUGUGUUGACUGUGAGCUGCUGGGUGAAGGUAUGGUUUUCUGCUUGCCUUAACAAUUCAGAUGUUGAAAUGCUGUUUCAGUAUAAGUGUUAAUUUUCUUUGUAUUUCCUAGGUUUCUUUUUACUGUCUUACUAUCCAGCACCAUAAAAUGUCGAUCUAUAAUUUGUCUGUCCAUACCUCUGGAUUUUAUUCUAUUUUGUCAUGUUAGCAUUUAGGAAGCAGCAUUGAGCACUUGCAUUGCUAGUACUAGGAACAUCAUCAGUGAAACAGAGUGAUUGGCAACAAGAAGUUGAGGUUAUCACUCGACUUGGUUCAGUAGUUGUGGUGUUGGUUCAUGAUUUAGACCUAACUUGUGGCCUUGCCCCCUACUUUUUCUUUAUUGUACUAAGCUGCGAAAGCUUUUUUACUGAUUGUUUUAACUCAUCACAAUACUCCAAAUAGAAGCAACAAUGAUAAGAUUUCUCCUUUCACGUGUUUUGCAGAAAGUAGCCUCCAUGCCUAUUAAAUCUUGGUCCUGUUUUAUACAGAGGCUUUCAUCUACUGAGAAGCACAUCGAUGGAGAAAUAAGACAAUCGUUAUAGGCAAUCUGUUUCACUGUUUCAGGUACAUGCUUUGUACUGAUUGAAACAUAUGAGCAAGGUUGCUACAAAUUAUGUUCCAUAUGUAUGAUUCCCAGCUCCAUCUAUUAAUUUGCAGAUUGAUAUAUCAUUAGUUCCAAUUUCUGUACAUAUUCAUGCAAUGAUUAAUUUUGAUACAAGUUUUUGAUAUUGCGAGAUCAUGCUACACUAGUAUGCUCAACAACAUCUGAUAUGUACCUAGACAUUAUAUUUUAGGGUGAAAUGUAUGCUCUGUUAAUAACAAGUAGCUUUACUAGUUAUCUAGAUGCUACUCAAAAUUGUAAGCAGUCGACACUAGUCUAAAGUGCAGCACAGAUCCAUAUAAAUGACAGAGACUUAAACUCCCUGUUAUUCUUGAGCGGUUUGCAAAUUAGGUUGAGCUGUAUGCUGAUUCUCCAUUUUCUUUGUUUAUUGUUUAUCCAACACAUGUAGAAAUAUAAUGUAUUUUUAUCUGUGUUCUUCAUUGCAGAACUGUUAUAUUGAACAGGUGCAUCCUUUCGAGGUUAGGUAUUACUAUUUUCUCAAAACAACAUUACUCAUGCAUUUGUUGUCAUCAUUUUAUACAAUUCUGUAUCUUAUAGUUCUGCUCAGUUAUUAUGUGAUAAUUUUAAAGGGAUGGUGUCAAGGUUUAGCAAUGUUAAUUUGAGAAAUUGAGAUGCUGAAUAUGUUCUUAUACUGUAUCACAUAGAUAUGUGGUCCUAGUUGCAAUCUUUUAGCAAUUGACACUUGACAAAAAAUGAGUCUAUUCUUUUUUUAGCACAUCAUUGAGUCUAUUUGGUGCAGGCUAAUCUGAAAGAGAAGCCCGCAAUCCAAGCUGCGAUUGAGUGACAAGUGAGGUCCUGUUUCUGUGUAUGUAGUUAAAGAACUUGUGUGUUAAAUGUGCUCCUCUGUUUCAGUGACUUUCAACCGUUGUAUGUUGAUUAUAGACAGAUUUGUAUAUGAAGUAGAUACAUGUGAUUAUUGUAACCAAUUCAGUUGUGUAUGUUCUAGAUUUGUUGUGAAAUGGAUCAAUUUUGUGAAAAGUAUUUCUAUCAUUUUUAUUUUUUUUGUCC
This 2202-nucleotide long non-coding RNA is filed under the name Triticum aestivum (bread wheat). RNAcentral describes it as "long non-coding RNA (TAES_LNC008005)". Lineage: Eukaryota; Viridiplantae; Streptophyta; Magnoliopsida; Poales; Poaceae. The record is from RNAcentral.